AAAGUCGUAACAAGGUCUCCGUUGGUGAACCAGCGGAGGGAUCAUUACAGAGUGCCCCUGGCUCUGCCCACCCCGCGAACCUUACACCGUUGCCUCGGCGGGCCCGCCCGCCAGCAGGCCCAACACACCCAGUCACCACGCGUCACUCUGACUACGUUUUCCAAUAAGUAAAAACUUUCAACAACGGAUCUCUUGGCUCCA
RNAcentral lists this unclassified non-coding RNA (201 nucleotides) under Ascomycota sp. RNAcentral's name for it is "partial contains small subunit ribosomal RNA, internal transcribed spacer 1, and 5.8S ribosomal RNA". The stretch from base 1 to 47 matches the Rfam family "Eukaryotic small subunit ribosomal RNA", at positions 1785 to 1831 of the family's 1831-position model. The record is from RNAcentral. Lineage: Eukaryota; Fungi; Ascomycota.